GGGACGGCGGCGGGGGCCGAGCCGGGCGCGGGGAGCGGAGCCGGAGCUGGAGCUGGAGCCGGGCGCGGUGAGCGGGGCUGGCCCCGGCGGGGCGGCUGCGGGCAGGCGGUGCCGCGCCGGGCACCGUGUCCCCUCGCUGUCCGGUGCGGUGCGGUGCGGAGCGGGUCUCCCAGCAGGUCCUGGAAGGCGCCGUGCGCGCAGGGAGCAGCGCCCGCCCUGCGCCCCGCACCGCCCGCCCUGCGCCGGGGGAGGCUUCCCAAGGUCUUGCCUUCCGUGUGCCGUAAUCAAGGACAUUUGGUUUUUACACGCGUUUAACCUAGGGGCUUUUCUCAGCAUGCACUCCCUUUAGCGUGAUAACUGACUGCAUUCUGCACAUUGGACAUUUGGCUUACAUCCCCGUAUCUUCCUGCUUUUCCAAAGGAUACAAUCUUACAUUGUCCUGGGCUUGAGCAGUAAAAGAUAAAUUCGAUCACUGGCUGACUUGUCAUCUCUUCAUUGUGAUGGAAAAACAGUCGCCUAAAAUAAACCCUUUGUUAUGCUGCUAAAACCGCCUUUGAAUCCUAGAUCUGUUGUGAUUUAUAAAACACAAACCCAAAAAUGUCAGAACCUGACCCUUCAUCUGGAUUUGUAGGAAACAUGGAAAAUGGGACUUUUCUGGAGCUGUAUCCCACAUCCCUUUCAACUUCAGUGGAUUCAUCACCUGGCCGUUUAUCCAACGUCUAUGUCUAUGUUUCUAUAUUCCUUAGUCUCUUAGCUUUUCUCCUUUUGCUAUUGAUCAUUGCACUUCAGAGGCUGAAAAACAUAAUUUCUUCCAGUUCCUCCUACCCAGAAUAUAAUAGUGAUGCUGGAAGUUCUUUCACUAAUUUAGAGGUUUGUAGUAUUUCUUCCCAGCGCUCUGCUCUCUCAAACCUUUCUUCAUGAAACUAAAUGGAAGGAAACACACGGGGAGUGGAAGUGCUUUGUCUAGUUUCUUGGGGAGGUAGUGCAUGCAACAUUUACCUUAGAAGACUAUUAUGAAGAGGUGGCUUUUAAAGUUUCCUUAGGGUUUUUUUCUUUCCUUUUCCAGUCUUCAUUUCUCUUUUACUAAUGUUUUUUCAUUUUGGACACUGGAUAAUGACACUUCAUUAUCAUUUCUUGCCUGUAAUAGUGAUGCUGUCUUUCUCUCACACCUAUACAGUGUUCAUUAAGAGUAUUCCUGCCAAAUUGUAAUACAGUUCUAACUGGAUGUGUCAUUUUUCAGCUGUAGUUGUGACCCCUUCCCUGGUUUCGCAUCAAUAAUACGCUGAGUACUUUUCUUUCUCCUUUUUUAAUUAGAUAAGGACUUCUGGAUGAAAUCCCUAUUGCAAAAGUAUAAAAAAUCUGCUUAAGUUACAAAUAAUAGGACAAAUUAAAGUUGUUGGUAUUUUUUUAUUUUCACAUCUUUUUCAGUAUUUAUUGAUGUUUAUAAAACAACUAAAAUCCGUUUCUUGAAGAAUGUUGUUUUGUUUAUUUGUACUCCCAACACAUUCUGUAUAAAGUCUCUGUAUUUCAGUUUCUGAGUCUCUUUGGUUAACUUAGUAAAACGACUACAAUAACGAUGCUCA
RNA transcript from Falco peregrinus (peregrine falcon), 1583 nucleotides. It is a transcript of the gene named serine rich and transmembrane domain containing 1, with no coding region annotated. The record is from RefSeq and is a predicted model, not a curated record. The transcript is spliced from 4 exons. Lineage: Eukaryota; Metazoa; Chordata; Aves; Falconiformes; Falconidae.